GAAAAUAUCACCCCAGUCCCUCCUGGUCAUCUCACUCCCUCCUGGCCUGUACAGUUUCCACUGAGAAGUCUGCUGCCAGAUGGAUUGGAGCUCCUUCAUGGGGAGUGAAGCCAGCCUGCUUCUAUGCUGCCAUUUUGGAACUCCUGAAAAAUAUUUUCACUGGAUUAGAAUUAGAGCUUGAUAGUUCUUUAAGGACUUGAAAAAUAUUGUGCCACUUUCUUGUCUCCAUGUUUUAGGCUGUACAGGAGGCAUGGCUGGGGAGGCCUCAGAAAACUUACAAUCAUGGCAGAAGGUGAAGGGGAAGCCAGCACAUCUUCAUAUGAUGGCAGGAACUUUAUAUGUUAUAGAAGUUAGCCCCAAGAAUGAAAUCGUGUCCUUUGCCAAAACAUGGAUGGAGCUAGAGGCCUUUAUCCUAAAAGCUACAAAUCUUCAGCAUUCUCCACUCUGUGAAGUCAGAGGAAUGGCGGGACCAUAGCUCUGAGCUCAUUGGCAAAUACAACUAAUUUCAAUUUCUGGAAUGGAAGCAGUCAGAUAUUCUUCUGACUGCACGCGUAUGUGGGAGUGCCAUGUUGAAGAGUGGAAAAUAUGGAAGAUCAGUCCCUACAAACUUAAUAGGAGAAUGACAUUCAGAUUUCCCGAGUAUUUUGCAUGUCCAACUGAAAACUGAAGUAGGUUUAUGAGAGAAUGCACGCCUACCUGGAUGGGUCUGGGGAGUGUGUCACUGUCACCGCAGAUAAUUGACAAGGGCUGAUCAAAUAGCGAUGCUUUCAAGUCUGUCUCCAAAGCCCCAGAAAAAUCUGAUGCAGGGGAGAGCCUUCUCAUGAGAAAGGGCCAGGACAGCACCUUCUUUCUCUUCUUAACUUCUACAGCCAAGAAAACAAGGCAACGAGAAAAAUUAGACUACAGUGUUAAGAAGCAAAGAUCCAGGUAAGAAAAUGGGUAUCGUUGGCCGCAUAAUGUGGUCAAUAGUAUGCGAUGUGAGAAAAAUAAUUUUGAAAACUUGAGAAAGCAAAGGGCGUGAAUCUUAAUCUAGAAAAACCAACCGAUAAACAACCACACUGUUACCAGGGCAACCAGUUCCCUAAACAGCAACACCAGAGUUCCUCAAGGCCUCCACCUUUCCUGUUUUCACUCUUUCCAGCUGUUUGCUACAGAAAAUUAGCAAAACCUAACUGUGCUGAUCAUAAACAACCAUCUUAACCUACUGGCCUGAAUAACUAUAGAGGAAAUUUCUGAUAUGAAAUAGAUUAUUUUGAUUUCCUCCUUUAACUGGCGAAGAAAACGAAACUUAAAAGGUGAGGAAGUGACUUGCUGAAUAUCUUUUCGAAGGCACAUAGCAGGGCUGGCUCCAACCCUUUGCAGCCACGCAGGCACUAAACAGCCACUAGAGGGAGCUAACACCAUUUUUCCUUCCAGGUGACUGGUCACCUUGGGUUUUCCAGGUUGCUGCUUUAGGACAGAGGCAAAUACGAAUCGCUGCGGGAAGCCUUGAACCUAGAUCUGGCAACUGGGAAUUAUCAGCAAAACGUUAUCAAGAUAUUCUGUCCUUCUGAAAUCCACAAGAUGUGUGUGCAAUGGAUAUUGCAAUCUCAAACAUUUCCUUCUUUCUUUUCUUUUCCUUCCUUCCUUCCUUCUCCUUUCUUACUAAUUAUAAAGGCUAUAUUUUCUAAAUGCA
Molecule: long non-coding RNA, 1675 nt
Organism: Homo sapiens (human)
Lineage: Eukaryota; Metazoa; Chordata; Mammalia; Primates; Hominidae
Gene: TAGAP-AS1
Product: TAGAP antisense RNA 1
Source: Ensembl